AACGCUAGCUACAGGCUUAACACAUGCAAGUCGAGGGGCAGCAUGGUCUUAGCUUGCUAAGGCCGAUGGCGACCGGCGCACGGGUGAGUAACACGUAUCCAACCUGCCGUCUACUCUUGGACAGCCUUCUGAAAGGAAGAUUAAUACAAGAUGGCAUCAUGAGUCCACAUGUUCACAUGAUUAAAGGUAUUCCGGUAGACGAUGGGGAUGCGUUCCAUUAGAUAGUAGGCGGGGUAACGGCCCACCUAGUCUUCGAUGGAUAGGGGUUCUGAGAGGAAGGUCCCCCACAUUGGAACUGAGACACGGUCCAAACUCCUACGGGAGGCGGCAGUGAGGAAUAUUGGUCAAUGGGCGAGAGCCUGAACCAGCCAAGUAGCGUGAAGGAUGACUGCCCUAUGGGUUGUAAACUUCUUUUAUAAAGGAAUAAAGUCGGGUAUGCAUACCCGUUUGCAUGUACCUUAUGAAUAAGGAUCGGCUAACUCCGUGCCAGCAGCCGCGGUAAUACGGAGGAUCCGAGCGUUAUCCGGAUUUAUUGGGUUUAAAGGGAGCGUAGAUGGAUGUUUAAGUCAGUUGUGAAAGUUUGCGGCUCAACCGUAAAAUUGCAGUUGAUACUGGAUAUCUUGAGUGCAGUUGAGGCAGGCGGAAUUCGUGGUGUAGCGGUGAAAUGCUUAGAUAUCACGAAGAACUCCGAUUG
RNAcentral lists this ribosomal RNA (694 nucleotides) under uncultured bacterium. RNAcentral describes it as "bacterial SSU rRNA". It matches the Rfam family "Bacterial small subunit ribosomal RNA", at positions 32 to 715 of the family's 1533-position model. The record is from RNAcentral.